RNAcentral lists this ribosomal RNA (497 nucleotides) under uncultured bacterium. RNAcentral describes it as "partial 16S ribosomal RNA". It matches the Rfam family "Bacterial small subunit ribosomal RNA", at positions 28 to 507 of the family's 1533-position model. The record is from RNAcentral.
GAUGAACGCUGGCGGCGUGCCUAAUACAUGCAAGUCGAGCGAACAGACGAGGAGCUUGCUCCUCUGACGUUAGCGGCGGACGGGUGAGUAACACGUGGAUAACCUACCUAUAAGACUGGGAUAACUUCGGGAAACCGGAGCUAAUACCGGAUAAUAUAUUGAACCGCAUGGUUCAAUAGUGAAAGACGGUUUUGCUGUCACUUAUAGAUGGAUCCGCGCCGCAUUAGCUAGUUGGUAAGGUAACGGCUUACCAAGGCGACGAUGCGUAGCCGAGCUGAGAGGGUGAUCGGCCACACUGGAACUGAGACACGGUCCAGACUCCUACGGGAGGCAGCAGUGGGGAAUAUUGGGCAAAGGGCGAAAGCCUGACCGAGCCACGCCGCGUGAGUGAAGAAGGUCUUCGGGUUGUAAAACUCUGUUAUUAGGGAAGAACAAAUGUGUAAUUAACUAUGCACGUCUUGACGGUACCUAAUCAGAAAGCCACGGCUAACUACGUG